Molecule: non-coding RNA, 268 nt
Filed under: Ophiophagus hannah (king cobra)
Lineage: Eukaryota; Metazoa; Chordata; Lepidosauria; Squamata; Elapidae
Description: Eukaryotic small subunit ribosomal RNA
Rfam family: Eukaryotic small subunit ribosomal RNA
Source: Rfam by way of RNAcentral
GAACCUCACCCAGCCCCGACAUGGAAAUGAUUGACAGAUCAAUAGCUCUUUCUUGAUUCUGUGGGGGUAGUGCAUGGUGCAUGAUUGUUCUUAGUUGGUGGAGUGAUUUGUCUAAUUAAUUUUAAUAACCAACAAGGCUCUGGCAUGCUAAUUACAAGUUAACAACCGGUACACACACACACCAAGCAGUUCAGCAUCCAACAUCUUAAGAGGGACAACUAAGUUAAGAGACAACUAGACCACUUCUGGCAAUCUAUAAAAAGCUAAG